RNAcentral lists this long non-coding RNA (382 nucleotides) under Olea europaea (common olive). Its description in RNAcentral is "long non-coding RNA (OEUR_LNC003168)". Lineage: Eukaryota; Viridiplantae; Streptophyta; Magnoliopsida; Lamiales; Oleaceae. The record is from RNAcentral.
AAAAUUGGUAGAUUGAAUUACUAUUUGACUGUGUCUUUUUACAUAAUAAUGAACUUGAAUUUAUAAUCCCUAAUUUCCUUUAAAGUUUGAGGAGAAGCAUGUGAAGAAUGGUUCAGACAAACUCUCACACUGCACUGCAAAAUGAAGUAACAAGAUGUCAUUACUGUUGCUGGUGCAAUGGCUACAAUUGUAAAUGGAAUGAAUUUUAGUGAUUUGGCAGGCAUGAAUUGGGGGCGGGCUUGAAUUGUGAGAGAUGAUGGGAAUUCUCUACGAAUAAAUUUGAGUGAAUUAAUUAUACGGUGAUCAACAUAAAAUUGACUGUAUUUAGUUUAGAAAUUACAUUUUACUCGAUUUUUAUGGCUAUUAUUAUUUUUUAUUAUUU